AGCGGCGGACGGGUGAGUAACGCGUGGGAACGUACCCUUUUCUGCAGGAUAGCCACUGGAAACGGUGAGUAAUACUGCAUACGCCCUUCGGGGGAAAGAUUUAUCGGAGAAGGAUCGGCCCGCGUUAGAUUAGGUAGUUGGUGGGGUAAUGGCCUACCAAGCCUACGAUCUAUAGCUGGUUUGAGAGGAUGAUCAGCCACACUGGGACUGAGACACGGCCCAGACUCCUACGGGAGGCAGCAGUGGGGAAUCUUAGACAAUGGGGGCAACCCUGAUCUAGCCAUGCCGCGUGAGUGAUGAAGGCCUUAGGGUCGUAAAGCUCUUUCGCUGGGGAAGAUAAUGACGGUACCCAGUAAAGAAACCCCGGCUAACUCCGUGCCAGCAGCCGCGGUAAUACGGAGGGGGUUAGCGUUGUUCGGAAUUACUGGGCGUAAAGCGCGCGUAGGCGGAUCAGAAAGUUGGGGGUGAAAUCCCGGGGCUCAACCUCGGAACUGCCUCCAAAACUCCUGGUCUUGAGUUCGAGAGAGGUGAGUGGAACUCCGAGUGUAGAGGUGAAAUUCGUAGAUAUUCGGAAGAACACCAGUGGCGAAGGCGGCUCACU
RNAcentral lists this ribosomal RNA (601 nucleotides) under Salipiger bermudensis. RNAcentral describes it as "bacterial SSU rRNA". It matches the Rfam family "Bacterial small subunit ribosomal RNA", at positions 94 to 730 of the family's 1533-position model. The record is from RNAcentral. Lineage: Bacteria; Pseudomonadati; Pseudomonadota; Alphaproteobacteria; Rhodobacterales; Roseobacteraceae.